This 305-nucleotide ribosomal RNA is filed under the name uncultured bacterium. Its description in RNAcentral is "bacterial SSU rRNA". It matches the Rfam family "Bacterial small subunit ribosomal RNA", at positions 335 to 637 of the family's 1533-position model. The record is from RNAcentral.
UGCCUACGGGACCCAGCAGUGAGGAAUAUUGGUCAAUGGGCGGGAGCCUGAACCAGCCAAGUCGCGUGAGGGAUGACGGUCCUACGGAUUGUAAACCUCUUUUGCCGGGGAGCAAGCGUGCGUUCGUGAACGCGCGUCGAGAGUACCCGGAGAAAAAGCAUCGGCUAACUCCGUGCCAGCAGCCGCGGUAAUACGGAGGGUGCGAGCGUUAAUCGGAAUUACUGGGCGUAAAGCGCUCGUAGGCGGUAUGUCAAGUCAAGGGUGAAAUCCCCGCGCUCAACGUGGGAACUGCCUUUGAAACUGGC